Molecule: transfer RNA, 362 nt
Filed under: uncultured Microcystis sp.
Lineage: Bacteria; Bacillati; Cyanobacteriota; Cyanophyceae; Chroococcales; Microcystaceae
Description: partial 16S-23S ribosomal RNA intergenic spacer
Rfam family: tRNA (bases 135-208)
Source: RNAcentral
AAGGGAGACCUGAUUCUGGUAGGAGACGAAAAAAAAGUAGUCCCAACCAAGAAUCAAUCCCAAAAGGUCGGAGCGAGGCGAAAUUGGCUUUCAAACUAGGUUCUGGGUUCACACAAGACCUGAAUCAGGAACAAGGGCUAUUAGCUCAGGUGGUUAGAGCGCACCCCUGAUAAGGGUGAGGUCCCUGGUUCGAGUCCAGGAUGGCCCACCUGCACAGGUGGCAAAAACAAGAGAAGCGAGGAAUCAGCACCUUAUCUUAUCUAUAUAUAUAUAGGAGAGAAUGCUGGCUCUGAGUAAAGAGUCCAGAGGAACCUUGAAAACUGCAUAGAGCUAGGUGAAAAAGCCAAAAAAGAAGACCGCAA